Molecule: long non-coding RNA, 1210 nt
Organism: Helianthus annuus (common sunflower)
Lineage: Eukaryota; Viridiplantae; Streptophyta; Magnoliopsida; Asterales; Asteraceae
Exons: 2
Source: RefSeq, a predicted model, not a curated record
AAAUAUUACCAAAAUCUCUACAAAAGAUUUGGUCUCAAAAGUGGAACACACAAAAUCUUACAAGAUCCCUCCUAGAUCUCUAUAAAACACCUCAUCCUCUCCUGUUUACACUCACACAAACAAAACACAGAGAUUUCACUCUCUGCUCGUGAUAAGAACCCCAAACCACACACACACCUCUCAGUCUCUCUCUCCCUCGCCGAUGUCUGACCGCCGGUGAAUCGGUGGAGCCGGUGACUCCCAUCUCUCCGGCGACUCUCACCUGCAACACCCACUCCCUUUCCACCGCUGGUACACCCCCCCUUCUCUCCUCUCCGCUGAUGUGUAACUAGGGACGAUAACAGCCACCACCACCGUCUGGUGGUGGUGCGACGGUGGAACUAAGAGAGAAAGAGAGAGAGAUUCAGAGAAAGAUGGUGCGACGACAGAAUCGAGUGAGGAGGACAGCAGCUUGGACAAGACAGAGAGUGAAAGAGGAAUCAGAGAUGUUGAGAGAGAUCAGCGGCAAAGAGAGGCAGCAGAGACGCCGUUUCCGGCGACGAUCUGUCGCUGGCGGCGGAGCCGCGACGGCAGUGGAGGCUCACGGUGAUGGUUUCGUUCUCCGACAGGAUCUACGAUGAUGCUUGUGAUGUUCUGUUUGGUUCGAGUUUCGGGACCCUGGUCAGCUUUCGCGACAUGGUCAAGCUCAAGUAAACAUGGCCAGAUUCAGUUUAGGGUUCACGUUAGCGGGUUCUUGUUCAUUCAGUCCAGAUUCGGAUUUGGUUUUGGGGAAAUAUUUUGGGUUCGGGUCAAACCCGAGUGACUCGGUCAACACCCGAGUCAACUCGGUUCAACAAUGGGUCAAGAUUGGUCAAUAAAAGUCAGCGGUCAAACCAAGUCAACAAGUCAGCGGGUUCAGGUCCGCUCACUGUUCGGGUCAACGGCUCAGUCAACAGUCAAAGUUUGGUCAACAGCUCACUUCGACCGUGGAUUAGUUUUGGUUCAGAUAUGAUACGGUUCGGAUUCGGUCAAAGAUGGUCAAAUGGGUCAACGGCAGUCAACACAGUCAGCUGCAAGACCCGGUAAAGAUUUAAUCGACGCAAAAUUUCUCUUUAUAUAGUUAUAGAUUUCAUACUUAUACGCGACCCGAGCUUGAACCGAUUCAAUUAAAAAUUAGUUACAUUCUAAUAUAUUUGACAAGAAUUAUAUACAUAUUGUUUGUUUGUUGAAA